This 1477-nucleotide long non-coding RNA is filed under the name Bos grunniens (domestic yak). RNAcentral's name for it is "lncRNA (ENSBGRG00000002128.1)". Lineage: Eukaryota; Metazoa; Chordata; Mammalia; Artiodactyla; Bovidae. The record is from RNAcentral.
AUGUCUGCCUCCCCUGAGGACUCCUCUGAACCUAUCCUAAAACAACAUUUAUCUAAAACACCAUGGAGUAAUCUAACACUCAUGGGAGCCAGAAAGACAGUGCCACAGUUACUUAUCUUCUCAAAUAUUGACUGUCCGAUUUUAAGCAAGACAACUUGCUCUGUGUGAUCUGUCAGCUGACAAACUGCAAGUCACGUUGUUUUUUGUUAGUUUGUUUUUUUUGUGGGUUUUGUGUGUGUGUGUGUGUGUGUGUGUGUGUUUGCAAGUCAUGGUUUUGAUGGACUCAUUUGUAUUUAGAUGUCUAUUUAACAUCAGUCAACAGCAUUUACUAUGUCUUGGCCUGUUUCUUAGGCAUUCACAAUAGUGAAUGACAGAAGAUGCCUGCCCUGUGAGAAUGUACAGACCAGAAAGGAAAAGGGAUUAAUAAACACAGUAAAUCUAGUAUGUCUGAUCAGUACCAGGGCGAGGGCAAGGGGAAGCAGAAUACUGUAGACACUUACACAAGUCCAGAGAGUCAGGGAAGUCUUCUUGGACGAUAAGCAGAUAUUAGCUAGGGAAAAAAAAAAAAAAAGGGGAGGGGAUCUUCCAGGCAGUAGGAAUAGCAUAUCCAAUGAAUAGCAUAAAAGCCUAAUUUAGUGUUCUCUUGUUCAUAGAUUAAUAGUUUUGAUGAGUUCCCAAAGGCUGAAAUGCAAAAGGUGACAUUUAGUAACUUAAAAUGUAUUAACUUAAAAAGACCAUGCUUUAUUUUCUGAUAUGGAUACCUUUCUUACUUUGGGGGUGUUAAAACAUCAUCUUUGCCCCAAAAUGAUAGUGACAGCAGAUGAUAAUGUAAUUCUUUAAAUAACGUCUUUGGCAAAAUAAGAUUUUCAAACUUGUGUUGAUUCCUAAAUUUUACUAGUCUAUGAAAUAGAGAAAGAAGUUCAUUCCCUCACCCUAUAUAAAAUUUUCUUUUUUUAUCUAUCCCUUUCUUGGUUAACACAAUUACUCAAAAAGUCUACAGGGUGCUAUGAUUUGUUAGUUCAGAGCAAACUGUUCAGGUAACAAUUGAACUAAGGGAUGGGAAUAUAAUCCAGCCCUUUGAAGACUCUAGUUGCUUGAUAGUUUCCUCUAUAGAAAGUACCUUCUGAACUCUUAAGCAUUCCAAAGAUCUGACAUUUGUCACUCGCAGAUUUAUUUUGAAACCCAGGUUUCUGGAUUGUUUUGACAUAUUCCUUAAAGUGUUUUUUUUUUUUUAAUAGUGCUUUGAAAAUUUUAUAGGUUUUAGAAAUUAAUUUGAUAAUUAUAUAUAUCACAGGCAAUUUAAUAUACCUAUCUAUCUAUCUAAGGACUUCCCUGGUGGCUCAGACAGUGAAGAAGCUGUCUGUAAUGUGGGAGACCCAAGUUCGAUCCCUGGGUGCGGAAGAGCUCCUGGAGAAGGGAAUGGCAAUCCACUCCAGUAUUCUUGCCUAGAGAAUUACAUGGAUAGAAGCUACAGGCC